GAUGAACGCUAGCGGCAGGCUUAAUACAUGCAAGUCGAACGGAAACAGGUGCAGCAAUGCAUGCUGUCGAGUGGCGCACGGGUGCGUAACACGUAUGCAACCUACCCUUUACCGGGACAUAACCCUUAGAAAUGGGGGCUAAUAUUCCAUGUGAUUACGAAUAAGGCAUCUUUUUGUAAUUAAAGUUACGGUGGUAAAGGAUGGGCAUGCGUCCCAUUAGUUAGUUGGUGAGGUAACGGCUCACCAAGACUGUGAUGGGUAGGGGUUCUGAGAGGAUUAUCCCCCACACUGGUACUGAGACACGGACCAGACUCCUACGGGAGGCUG
RNAcentral lists this ribosomal RNA (327 nucleotides) under uncultured Bacteroidota bacterium. RNAcentral describes it as "bacterial SSU rRNA". It matches the Rfam family "Bacterial small subunit ribosomal RNA", at positions 28 to 351 of the family's 1533-position model. The record is from RNAcentral. Lineage: Bacteria; Pseudomonadati; Bacteroidota.